Molecule: ribosomal RNA, 406 nt
Filed under: uncultured bacterium
Lineage: Bacteria
Description: partial 16S ribosomal RNA
Rfam family: Bacterial small subunit ribosomal RNA
Source: RNAcentral
AUUGAACGCUGGCGGCAGGCCUAACACAUGCAAGUCGAGCGAGCGGCGGACGGGUGAGUAAUGUCUGGGAAACUGCCUGAUGGAGGGGGAUAACUACUGGAAACGGUAGCUAAUACCGCAUCCCAUCAGAUGUGCUCAGAUGGGAUUAGCUAGUAGGUGGGGUAAUGGCUCACCUGUGCGACGAUCCCUAGCUGGUCUGAGCGGGUGACCAGCCAGAGUGGAACUGAGACACGGGCCAGAAUCCUACGGGAGGCAGCAGUGGGGAAUAUUGCACAAUGGGCGCAAGCCUGAUGCAGCCAUGCCGCGUGUGUGAAGAAGGCCUUCGAGUUGUAAAGCACUUUCAGCGGGGAGGCGUUACCCGCAGAAGAAGCACCUGCGAGCUCCAUACCAGGAGCCACGGUAAUAC